Long non-coding RNA from Scaptodrosophila lebanonensis, 2724 nucleotides. RefSeq lists it as uncharacterized. Lineage: Eukaryota; Metazoa; Arthropoda; Insecta; Diptera; Drosophilidae. The record is from RefSeq and is a predicted model, not a curated record. The transcript is spliced from 2 exons.
AUGGAGUGCCAGAAACUAUUGUUAGUGACAAUGGGUCACAAUUUAAAGCAAAUACCUUCAAUUCAUGGCUAACUUCAUUAGGAAUUAAACACGUUUAUACUGCUCUCUAUUCGCCGCAAUCCAAUGCGUCAGAAAGAGUUAAUCGUUCGUUAAUUGCAGCGAUGCGAGCAUACCUCAACGAAGAUCAGCGAGAUUGGGAUCAGCAUAUAGACGCGAUUAGUUGUGCGCUUAGAAAUUCGGUACAUCAGAGUACACAGUUUUCUCCUUAUCAUUCGUUGUUCGGAUUAGAUAUGGUUACUCAUGGCUCUCAAUAUGACCUAUUACGUCGUCUUAAUCUACUAGAUGAACCUAUUUGUAAGCUGCAUAAAGAUGAUCAGCUAAAAUUAAUUCGAAAAGAGAUAAAACAGAACCUAAGACAUGCUUAUGAACAAAAUGCAAAACAAUAUAAUUUAAGAACUCGAGAAAUACAUUUUAAAAUUGGACAAGAAGUAUUUAGAAGAAGUUUUGCACAGAGCAAUUUUCAAAAGAACUUUAAUGCGAAACUUAGCCCAGCUUGGAUAAAGUCUAGAAUACGGGAAAAGUUAGGCAAUGCAUUUUACGUGCUUGAAGACCUACAAGGAUGCUUAGUUGGCACUUACCAUGCUAAAGAUAUACGUCAAUAACUGUUCUUUUUUCAGUCUAAUUCUUCUCAUUAAGAAUGGCCGAAUUAUCCAGGGUGUAGUGAACAGUGGCAUAUGCACAUCGGCAAAUGUUCAUUAUUAUUAUACAAGUAGCAAUUCAAAAUUUAACAGUGGUACUAGCGAAGCUUCAAACCACUUUGGUAAAGGCAUCAAGGUCUUGUUAACACUGAUAUGCAUUUGACACAAAGCUCUGUUAAGCUUGUCAGACAGCUGUCAAUAGUUGAAACAUAGGCUACGAAUUUAAUUACUUCCUGCACUCGACCUCUUUCUGUUCUGACCGCUGGCACGAUCAGUUGUGCUUUAUUUAGCUGCAAUAAAUUUUGUUUAAAUUAUUAAAAGUGAAACACGUGUAUAUUUUCGUGUGCAAAUCGUGCUAUUGAGAAGCCAUCCUCAAGGAGGCUUUAUUAAAACCUUGUAAGAUCACCAUUUCACAGCGUUUAUCUGUUCCAUUUUGGAUUAUUUUUUGCUUCAAAGAAUAUUGUUGUAUGGCGACAUGAGCUAUUGUCUUGGUCGGCUCAUCCACAAUUAAACGUUGGAUUCAUCCCGUCAGAUAAUCAGGCGAAGCUGGAAUUUGAAUGCAGAAAUUAGCGACAAGGCAGAAUUUCAAUAGGCAGCAAACGUAGCAGCAGCAGCGGCGGAGAGAACUCGACUUUUACAAAGACUCCAGUACCCUCCAAAAACCAGGAGAAAGAGCCACAUAUACUCGUAUAUGUGUACUAACGUUAACGAAUUUGGUUUCUUUAAAAUUCAGGCAGAAAUAUCAAUAUUACGAAUUUUUGCAUGCUUAACCUAAAAGCAGAGACCCUGUGCUUACAAAUUGCAUGUACAGCGCAAGUACAAAGUCCAACUUUAUUGGCAUAAUUUUAUCUAAGCAUCAGCUAUUAAUAGCAAUUGUUUAAAGUAACUGUAUUUUGGUUUGUGCAAAAGCAAAAGUUUUUCUUUAUCAAAAGUUCAAAAGUAAGAGAGCCUCUUACAUAGGCAUAUAAUUAAUUCAUACAUACAUAUAUAUUAGAGCAGGCAUUUGCAACUCAAUAAGUGCUGAGUUUGGAAAUAUUAAUAUCUUAAUUUUUUUUUGUUUUUUUUUUAUUGGAGAUCGAAAGUGUUGAAAUAGUACUGCUUGUAUAAAUUAAUUUUGAUCCCAUACUAACAUACACAGCAACAUCUGGAAACCAUGGAGGCCUUCAUCGGAUUUUUCAGAGGGUGAGUCAAACUUGCAUAUCUAUUUCUUGCUUAUUUUCGAUCAUCAAGUGUACAGGUUAAUAAGUAAAUUUCAAAUAUAUAAAAGUACGGCUUUUAAAGUUUGGGGUCAAUGCCCUUGAAAGCUUUUCGUCAACGAUUAAACAUAUGAUGCCCAGCAUCACAGCUUUUAGUUUCAAAGUUUGUUUUGAUUUUUAUUGCUAAUUGCUGAUACAGUUCGGUAUAACUGUUUUACUAGCGACUGAUAAUAAUAUUUUUAUUUUUGCUCUCGAUGCACUUAUGCUUAUUACUAGAUAUAUUUAUGCAUGAAUUAUGGCUUUUUCUUUAAACCGGUAUACUCUGAUAUCAUUUUUCAUUGUUUUGAGGAAACAAACUUAUAUCGCAACUAUGAAUUACUCUUGCUUAUGCAGAAUAACUUUGGUUUAUCAACUCUUAUGUGCUAUUGAUGAAUAUUAACCUUUAAUUUUAGUUUGAUUAUGGUUUUCUUUUAUUUACGUUAUGAUUACUUGAAUUUUAUAAAUGGAAAAGAAUGAAGUUUAUUUGGAAUUUAGUAUUUUUCAUUAUAUAUUGAAUAAAAUAACUAUGACUUUGUGAAUUUAAAUAUAUUUUUCCUAAUGUAAAGGGAUAAGGCAGGCGAAGUAGCCUCUUCUUGGGAUUUUUCUUAAAAUAACGCACAAUGGAAAAAUCAUUGGUAGGGUGGGUAGAGAGCGUAGCAACCACACCAUCUGGUUAGCUUUGAAGAAGGUAUUGCUGUUUCUUAAUACAUUUUCCGAUUCUUUUCAUUGUCUUUCUUUUUUCUUUCUUUCACUGUUAGCCUAUUGCAAGUGCCGCCCCAACUAUCUUUUUU